This is a long non-coding RNA of Stylophora pistillata, 328 nucleotides long. The record is from RefSeq and is a predicted model, not a curated record. NCBI's taxonomy places the organism in Eukaryota, Metazoa, Cnidaria, Anthozoa, Scleractinia, Pocilloporidae.
AAGACGCAAGGAGCUGGAAACAGGAACUCAAAGAGACGAUACCGCAGUAGUUUUCAAUAUACAUUAGCUAAGCUUUAACUUGAAGAAAGAAGAAGACUUAUGGCAUGGUAUUGCAGGCAGAGACGGAAAUCAAACCAGAGGACGGACUUUAAUCACGAAAAACACAUUGAAAGAGCCAAUGAAGGAAACCUUAAGAUAGGAGGUAUAUACUCACCGCUGAAUCACACGCCCUGAGCAGUUGGGUUCAGAGAAGCAACAAGCAAAAAUGGACAUUUGCGAGGAAAACGGCCAACUUUUAUGAGCUAAGAACAUCACGGAAAAUCAAUUU